AGGGUUCGAUCAUGGCUCAGAACGUACGCUGGCGGCACGCCUAACACAUGCAAGUCGAACGGAGUAGCAAUACUUAGUGGCAGACGGGUGAGUAACAUGUAGGUAUCUGCCCUUUGGCCUGGAAUAACACGAGGAAACUUGUGCUAAUACCGGAUAAGUCUUUACGGAGAAAGCUUUAUGCACCAUUGGAUGAGCCUGCACUUGAUUAGUUUGUUGGUGGGGUAAUGGCCUACCAAGACUUUGAUCAAUAGCUGAUUUGAGAGGAUGAUCAGCCACAUUGGGACUGAGACACGGCCCAAACUCCUACGGGAGGCAGCAGUGGGGAAUCUUGCACAAUGGAGGAAACUCUGAUGCAGCGAUGCCGCGUGAGUGAAGAAGGCCCUUGGGUUGUAAAGCUCUUUCGUCGGGGAAGAAAAUGACUGUACCCGAAUAAGAAGGUCCGGCUAACUUCGUGCCAGCAGCCGCGGUAAUACGAAGGGACCUAGCGUAGUUCGGAAUUACUGGGCUUAAAGAGUUCGUAGGUGGUUGAAAAAGUUGGUGGUGAAAUCCCAGAGCUUAACUCUGGAACUGCCAUCAAAACUUUUCAGCUAGAGUUUGAUAGAGGAAAGUAGAAUUUCUAGUGUAGAGGUGAAAUUCGUAGAUAUUAGAAAGAAUACCAAUUGCGAAGGCAGCUUUCUGGAUCAUUACUGACACUGAGGAACGAAAGCAUGGGUAGCGAAGAGGAUUAGAUACCCUCGUAGUCCAUGCCGUAAACGAUGUGUGUUAGACGUUGGAAAUUUAUUUUCAGUGUCGCAGCGAAAGCAAUAAACACACCGCCUGGGGAGUACGACCGCAAGGUUAAAACUCAAAUGAAUUGACGGGGACCCGCACAAGUAGUGGAGCAUGUGGUUUAAUUCGAAGAUACGCGCAGAACCUUACCAACACUUGACAUGUUCGUCGCGACUCUAAGAGAUUAGAGUUUUCGGUUCGGCCGGACGAAACACAGGUGCUGCAUGGCUGUCGUCAGCUCGUGUCGUGAGAUGUUGGGUUAAGUCCCGCAACGAGCGCAACCCUCACUUUUAGUUGCCAUCAUUUAGUUGGGCACUCUGAAAGAACUGCCAGUGAUAAGCUGGAGGAAGGUGGGGAUGACGUCAAGUCCUCAUGGCCCUUACGUGUUGGGCUACACACGUGCUACAAUGGUAUCUACAACAGGAAGCAAGACGGCGACGUUAAGCAAAUCCUUAAAAGAUACCUCAGUUCGGAUUGCACUCUGCAACUCGAGUGCAUGAAGCUGGAAUUACUAGUAAUCGUGGAUCAGCGUGCCACGGUGAAUGCGUUCCCGGGUCUUGUACACACCGCCCGUCACACCAUGGGAGUUGGUUCUACCUUAAGGCAAGGUUUAAAACCCUUGACCACGGUAUAGUCAGCGACUGGGGUGAAGUCGUAACAAGGUAGCCA
RNAcentral lists this ribosomal RNA (1437 nucleotides) under uncultured marine microorganism. RNAcentral's name for it is "bacterial SSU rRNA". It matches the Rfam family "Bacterial small subunit ribosomal RNA". The record is from RNAcentral.